This 254-nucleotide ribosomal RNA is filed under the name uncultured bacterium. Its description in RNAcentral is "partial 16S ribosomal RNA". It matches the Rfam family "Bacterial small subunit ribosomal RNA", at positions 524 to 776 of the family's 1533-position model. The record is from RNAcentral.
UACGUAGGGUGCAAGCGUUGUCCGGAAUUAUUGGGCGUAAAGAGCUCGUAGGCGGUCUGUCACGUCGGCUGUGAAAUCCCGAGGCUCAACCUCGGGUCUGCAGUCGAUACGGGCAAACUAGAGUAUUGCAGGGGAGACUGGAAUUCCUGGUGUAGCGGUGAAAUGCGCAGAUAUCAGGAGGAACACCGGUGGCGAAGGCGGGGUCUCUGGGCCGAUACUGACGCUGAGGAGCGAAAGCGUGGGGAGCGAACAGG